ACUUGGUGAAAUUCCUCAGGGAUUUUGAGACAUCAAAGCAAUCUCUCUAGUUCUGGAAAGACUGAAUUUGCAGCAUCUGCUGAAAUGAGGAAUAAUCAAUGUUCACCAGCGGAAAUUGAAAAGCAAAGAGAUGGGGAAGAUUCCAAGGAUCCACUCAAGUUCCUGGUGUUUUUGUGAAUGUUCUGUGUUUAAGACAUGCUUUUGUUUAGGAGAAGACAUGAGCUGAGCCAACUGGGAUAAAGAAGAGGUUGAAAAUGCGUAUGGCUUAGACAGAGUAAAGAGUUUUAGAUAAAAUAUCGGGGUAACUUUUAGAGUCUUGGCUUAAGGCCAAAGCUUCUGAAUCAAGGAAAGAGUGACAGUUGCCUUCCUCUAUUUUUAUUAAUAUACAGGUGUGUUACCAUUAUUACCUGCCAGAAAGAGCAUAAUAUUAAUCCAAUCAAAUUAUAUGAGUCCUACAGUAGAAAUAUUGCAGACAUUUAAUAUUAUAUUGAAGUUUAAUUAAUGGUAAGACAUUUCAAGGUGGUAAUAGUUAUAUGCAGCUCUUUGGCUAAAAGUCAAAGUGUGAUAUAUACAGAAUAGAAACGAUGCUGGACUGCCAGAAAAUCUGCCUCUCCCUCCCACUCCCCCAAGAUCUAUUAGGAACGAGCAUUUACUGUUAUUAUUUCAAAUAUUUAUGCAAAGUAAUUUUAAAUGAUUUAAACAUUCCAUAUAUCAAUCAAAGUUAAUAAUAAGUUAGAUUCUGAAACAUUUGUGCCAUUAACAACAGUCAGAAAGAUAACAUUAUUUCAUUGGUAUUAAAUGAGGCAA
This 807-nucleotide long non-coding RNA is filed under the name Homo sapiens (human). Its description in RNAcentral is "NAALADL2 antisense RNA 2 (NAALADL2-AS2)". Lineage: Eukaryota; Metazoa; Chordata; Mammalia; Primates; Hominidae. The record is from RNAcentral.